AGAGUUUGAUCCUGGCUCAGGAUGAACGCUGGCGGCGUGCUUAAUACAUGCAAGUCGAACGGAGAGUUUUGUAGCAAUACGAAGCUUCUCAGUGGCGAACGGGUGAGUAACGCGUUGGUGACCUGCCCCGAAGUGUGGGAUAACAGUCCGAAAGGAUUGCUAAUACCGCAUGUGGUCAUUGGAUUUAGAAACCGAUGAUUAAAGGAGCGAUUCGCUUCGGGAGGGACCUGCGUCCCAUCAGCUAGUUGGUGAGGUAACGGCCCACCAAGGCGUCGACGGGUAAGGGACCUGAGAGGGUGGUCCCUCACAAUGGCACUGAAACACGGGCCAUACACCUACGGGUGGCAGCAGUAGGGAAUAUUGGGCAAUGGGCGAAAGCCUGACCCAGCAACGCCGCGUGCACGAUGAAGGCCUUCGGGUCGUAAAGUGCUUUUCUGGGAGAUGAGAAAGGACAGUAUCCCAGGAAUAAGCCUCGGCUAACUACGUGCCAGCAGCCGCGGUAAAACGUAGGAGGCAAGCGUUAUCCGGAUUUACUGGGCGUAAAGCGCGUGUAGGCGGUUCGGCAAGUUGGAUGUGAAAUCUCCCGGCUCAACUGGGAGGGGUCGUUCAAUACUACCGAACUUGAGGGCAUCAGAGGAAGGUGGAAUUCCCGGUGUAGUGGUGAAAUGCGUAGAUAUCGGGAGGAACACAGUGGCGAAGGCGGCCUUCUGGGAUGCAUCUGACGCUCAGACGCGAAAGCUAGGGGAGCGAACGGGAUUAGAGACCCCGGUAGUCCUAGCAGUAAACUAUGUAGACUUGGUGUCGGAGGUGUCAAAACCUUCGGUAUCGUAGCUAACGCGAUAAGUCUACCGCCUGGGGACUACGGCCGCAAGGUUAAAACUCAAAGGAAUUGACGGGGGCCCGCACAAGCAGCGGAGCGUGUGGUUUAAUUCGAUGCUACACGAAGAACCUUACCCGGGUUUGACAUGUUGGUGGUAGGGAUCCGAAAGGUGACCGACCCGCAAGGGAGCCUUCACAGGUGCUGCAUGGCUGUCGUCAGCUCGUGUCGUGAGAUGUUCGGUUAAGUCCGCUAACGAGCGCGACCCUCGCCACGUGUUACAUGUGUCACGUGGGACCGCCGGUAUCAAGCCGGAGGAAGGUGGGGAUGACGUCAAGUCAGCAUGGCCUUUAUGUCCGGGGCUACACACACGCUACAAUGGUCGGUACAAUGGGUCGCUAAGCCGCGAGGUAGAGCCAAUCCCCAAAGCCGGCCUCAGUUCAGAUCACAGGCUGCAACCCGCCUGUGUGAAGUCGGAGUUGCUAGUAAACGCGCGUCAGCUAUAGUGCGUUGAAUACGUUCUCGGGCCUUGUACACACCGCCCGUCACGUCAUGGGAGCUGGUAACACCUGAAGCCGGUAGCCUAACCGUAAGGAGGGCGCUGUCGAAGGUGGUGCUGGUGACUGGGACGAAGUCGUAACAAGGUA
RNAcentral lists this ribosomal RNA (1464 nucleotides) under metagenome. RNAcentral's name for it is "bacterial SSU rRNA". It matches the Rfam family "Bacterial small subunit ribosomal RNA". The record is from RNAcentral.